AUGGCGCAUUGCAGAACUAAGCUGGCCGCGUUUGUCUUCUCUUCCAGCACCGGAAAAUGGCAAGAAGCCACCAAGAGCGGGCCGACUGGUUUGGUCCUUGACAGGGGCGACUCGGCCAUACUGUCACGGAUCCACCCUCAUUUUCUCAUGCGCCAUUAUGCCUAUGGCUGCUUCUACUGGGACUGGCUUGUGACCGGGAGCAGAAAGUUGCUCAUGCUUGACACCAGGAGGAUGGAGUUCUCCUUUGCCGACCUCCCACCCGGAGAGUGGAGUAAACGUGUAGCCAUUGUGGAGGCAGGGGAAGGCAGGCCUGGGAUUUUUGGGUUCCAUGGUGAAAUUGCAUCUGAUCUCAGCUAUGCCAUUGCGCAAAAUACAGGCGAGAGUCCGAACCAGUGGCAAAUGUUGAAGACAAUAUCACUAGACCCUGGAUACAUAUAUUCUAUCGAUGCUGCAACGGGAAGGUACUUGCUAUUGGUAAGGACGGUGGCCUCUUCUCUAGGGAAUUUGGUAGAGAAUUCACUCGUCGAAUAUUUCUCAAUGGACGCCAAGAUGUUGCAGCUUCAGAGGGUUUGUACCAAACAAUGCUCGCUUAUGUAUAAUGGGACACACAUAUAUGCCGACUUUCCACCAUCGCUGUUGUCUUCACGGGCAAUAUAA
Molecule: ribosomal RNA, 657 nt
Filed under: Triticum aestivum (bread wheat)
Lineage: Eukaryota; Viridiplantae; Streptophyta; Magnoliopsida; Poales; Poaceae
Description: partial small subunit ribosomal RNA
Source: RNAcentral